This 253-nucleotide ribosomal RNA is filed under the name uncultured bacterium. RNAcentral's name for it is "partial 16S ribosomal RNA". It matches the Rfam family "Bacterial small subunit ribosomal RNA", at positions 524 to 776 of the family's 1533-position model. The record is from RNAcentral.
UACGGAGGGUGCAAACGUUGCUCGGAAUCAUUGGGCGUAAAGCGCACGUAGGCGGCUUUGUAAGUUAGAGGUGAAAGCCCGGGGCUCAACUCCGGAAUUGCCUUUAAGACUGCAUCGCUAGAAUUGUGGAGAGGUAAGUGGAAUUCCGAGUGUAGAGGUGAAAUUCGUAGAUAUUCGGAAGAACACCAGUGGCGAAGGCGACUUACUGGACACAUAUUGACGCUGAGGUGCGAAAGCGUGGGGAGCAAACAGG